GUGAUCCUACGUGCCAGCAGCCGCGCCUACGGGAGGCAGCAGUGGGGAAUCUUGCGCAAUGGGCGAAAGCCUGACGCAGCCAUGCCGCGUGAAUGAUGAAGGUCUUAGGAUUGUAAAAUUCUUUCACCGGGGACGAUAAUGACGGUACCCGGAGAAGAAGCCCCGGCUAACUUCGUG
Molecule: ribosomal RNA, 177 nt
Filed under: uncultured bacterium
Lineage: Bacteria
Description: partial 16S ribosomal RNA
Rfam family: Bacterial small subunit ribosomal RNA
Source: RNAcentral